CACGCUUUGGUUACCUAGCAACUCCCUCAUUCUUCGGUCACCUAGCGACAGCCUGUUGAGUAACUUGCACCGCAGCAGUUUAAGAAGAUCCUGCUGCAGGUCCCAUUGCGACGUUUUGGAGAUGACGGGGAAUGUUUUCUGAGUCUUACAGACCGUUUGCUCUUGGGAGGAAUUUGCCUGGACAGCCAGUUUUGAAUUUUCUCAACUUGUUCACCAUUUUCAGCACGGUGUUUUCAAACUCUGUUGAGACCUCUUUAAAUCUCUUACCAGACUCUUAAGCUGCUGCACAGUUCCUCCUGCAGGCCUCCAGACAGCUCUUUGGAUCCCAUUAUGGAGUUUCCUCUCUGUUCAAUGGCCUGUGUGUGAUUGUAGCCACUUUCAGUGGGAACAAAUGUAGGACUGUUUUAUCACCAGAAAAGCAUUAUUUUAAAAUAUCUUUAGUUUUUGAAUUGUUUGAGUAACUUGAAUUGUUGAAAUUUACGCCCAAACAUAUAGAAAAACACGUCGGCUGUCUUAUGUGUCCCUUUUUGUUUGCAUACACCACCAUUAAUAUUUGGAUAAAUGUUCUUUACACUGUUGAGCUUUGACUUUAUGGGUUUUGUAGAGAUUAAUAAGCUGAAGGCAUAAUUGUGGCUGAAUAUUUGACUAUCACAAACGUUGGAGCUCAUUUGAAUCGACUGGUUUCCUGGCACUGAUUCGACUUUUAUGCAAAGUUAGUUAAGUUGCUACAGGGUUGAGGUGCGGUACGUUCCAGAAGUUUAACAUUAGUCUGCUUUAACUAGUCCAACGGCGGACAGAUGCAAAUUGUUCAACAAAACAGAGUGUCUUCAGUCAGAGGCUUCUUCAGAUCGGCUGUAGUACAGACCUCUACAACAGCCAUCACCAUCUACAGUUAGUCUUUGAAGACUUUGAAUUAAUGGGUUACAGUAACAUUUAAUUUCCCUUUGGGAUCAAUAAAGUACUUUUCAAUUGAA
Long non-coding RNA from Poecilia latipinna (sailfin molly), 974 nucleotides. RefSeq lists it as uncharacterized. The record is from RefSeq and is a predicted model, not a curated record. The transcript is spliced from 2 exons. Lineage: Eukaryota; Metazoa; Chordata; Actinopteri; Cyprinodontiformes; Poeciliidae.